This 102-nucleotide unclassified non-coding RNA is filed under the name uncultured soil eukaryote. RNAcentral describes it as "sequence contains ITS2". The record is from RNAcentral.
AUUAAUUUGAUAGGACAUUAGUCCAAAAUCAUAUUGAGACGUCUCAUCGUCUGACAAUUUGUUUCCAAACAGACUCUUUCGAAUAUGUUUGCGAUACAUAAA